UCCCUUUCUCCCCUCUUAUCCCAUCAUGCCCAAUUCCCUCCCACCAAAAACCCUAGGUUCAGCCAAUCAAUAAACCCCCAAAAAUUGAAAAAAAAGCCCAUCUUUUUUUUCUUUUAAAUUUUUUUUUUUUUUUAACAAAACAGCCCAUUUCCCUCAAUCCAAUUCACCAUACAGAAAGAAAUGGAUGACACCGAAGACGACGCCAGGUACCCUCCAAACCCUUCUUCUUCUUCCUAUUACACUUCAAACUACCACCACCAUCGACGCCCUAAACUCCCCGUCCGCAAUCCCUCUUCCGUUCCUCCCAUCCCCAAAAACUACUACAACGAACAAAACAACUACAACAAAGGCGACAACGACGACGAAGAGGAAGAAGAAGAAGAAGAAGACGACUACAACGAAGGAGGAAACUACAACGACGACAACGGCGAAGAAGAUGAGGAAGAAGAAGAAGAUGAUGUUCCUAUCCAUCGAGCCGUUCAGGAGGCAGAGGAUGAUGAAGAAGAAGAGAAUGAAGAAGAUGAUGGAGAUGACGAUGACGACGAUGAUGACGAUGAUGACGACGACAUCAACGCCCGUUAUAGGCGGGCUGGAGCCAAUGAUGAUUCUGGGCCACCUCGAAAGCGACCCCACAGGAUGGACAAAUCAGCAUUAGCAUUUGAAUUCGCACCGCGCAUGAAGCCGCUCCCUGCACUGCCCGCUCCCACCGUGGUGGCGAAACCGUCCUUCGGUGGGCCACGCGGGUCGCCCAUUGCUGACUGGACGGAGCACUCCACGUUCACCCUCCUUGAUGCCUGGGGCAACCGAUUCCUCCAGCUGGGCCGCAAGAGCCUGCGGUCGGACGACUGGGUUGAUGUUGCGAAGCAGGUCUCACAGGUGUCACGGGCUGUCCGCACAGACACACAAUGCCGGAACCGCCUCGACACACUGAAGAAGAAGUACAAGAGAGAGAAGAUGAAGGUUUUGGAGUCCGGGAAUCCUGCCAGCAAGUGGGUCUACUUCAAGAAGAUGGAGGAACUGAUGUCGGGCUCGCUGCCGCCACGCCAGCAGCCUGGACUGUCAUGUGGGGUUGAUUCAGGGGAGUAUGUGUUUAUGAAUCCGAGAGUGUAUCUCAACCGUGCAAAUGGGUUGGACGAGAUGCCGGACAGUCCCGGGAAUUCGGAGGAAGGUGGGGAUGAUGAGGAUGAUUCAGAUGGGCUACCGCCCAAGCGCACCAGAUUGGAGCAUGGGGACGAGGGCGGUGGGCCAUCAUCGUCAUCGUCAUUUAGGAUGCUUGCAGAUUCAAUCCAGAAGUUCGGAGAGAUUUAUGAGAAGAUUGAGAAUAAUAAGAGGCAGCAGAUGGAGGAAUUGGAGAGGAUGAGGAUGGAGUUCCAUCGGGAUCUCGAGCUGCAGAAGAGGCAGAUUUUGGAGCGGGCCCAGGCAGAGAUCGCAAAGAUUCGGGAGGGAGAUGAUGAUGAGGAGAUUGACGUUUCUGUUGAGAAUAUCAGUGGGUGAUGUGUUGGUUCAGCUUCCCAUCAAAGGGUGGAAGUAAUUUGGGGGUGAAUCUUUCUUGGGAACUCGGAGCAUCCUGAGGAUUGGCACGGGUGGUGGAUGAUAUCUUCUAUGGCCGUGACACACGGAUGGUUUGAUAUCGGGCAGGUAGCAAGGGCACCAUAUGAUUCGGCAGCGUCAUUUUUUUCUUCUAUGUAAUCGGUCGUUGAAGCCUUCUUAUGUUACAAGCCGAUCGAAAGUAUUUAAACCCAUAUGUAUUUGCAUUUGCACAAUGUAUCUCUAGCCAUACCUUGUGGGGCCAUUAGGUGUAUAACCUGUGGGAUGAAGACGACCUGUUACUAGUUCAGUUGUCUUUCUUCCAGAGAAAGAAAGAAAAAGGAAAAGUUUUUGGCGCCGAUGACUAUGACCUUAUUUAUCAAUAAAUGUAUUGUAUUUUAGAUAGAA
This is an RNA transcript of Magnolia sinica, 1935 nucleotides long. It is a transcript of the gene named trihelix transcription factor ASIL2, with no coding region annotated. The transcript is spliced from 3 exons. The record is from RefSeq and is a predicted model, not a curated record. Lineage: Eukaryota; Viridiplantae; Streptophyta; Magnoliopsida; Magnoliales; Magnoliaceae.